Castor canadensis (American beaver) is the source of this 1411-nucleotide non-coding RNA. The record is from RefSeq and is a predicted model, not a curated record. NCBI's taxonomy places the organism in Eukaryota, Metazoa, Chordata, Mammalia, Rodentia, Castoridae.
UGUAUCCUUGAAGGGAAUAUUGGACACCUUUCUAUCUCUGUCUUUGCUUUCCAGUCACCAGGAGGUAAACAGAUCUCUGCCACAUUCUCCCACCAUGAGUACUGUGCCACCACUGGCUGAAAGCAACAGAGUCAAGCAACCAUGGACCAAAACCUCUGAAACUGUAUGCUUCAUAUCCAGGUGUGGAGUUGUCAACGGAGAAGAACAGAUCACCCUGCAGUGGUCCCCAUCUUGGAGCAUCAAAUCCUUGAAGGCUGUUUACGGAACACCAGACUCUUGGAUUUCCCAGAUCAUCAGUGACAUCAACCUCAAAAGCCCAACUAUGAUUUGAGCAUUUUCUGCAAGUUCUCCAUUGUAACAGUCACCUUAUCAGUGACAUAGACAUAGAAGAGAAUUCUCAUCAGAGAGAGUUCAUGGCAGUGAGCAAGGAAGUCAGUAAUCAAUGCCUGUUAAUAUCCAUGAGAACUUCAGAUGAAUUUCCAGGUCCUCCCUUAUGAUUUGUAUCAAGAGAAAGAGGAGACCAGAGGACAUUGGUGAGAAAAGGACUCAGAAAGCCAUUUAUUUCAUUUCUUCAAGUUAGAAAAUUUCCAUUUUGACACUGUCAGCGUCUCUCCUUUCAUAGGCAGUAAAUUCACUACGAAGGGCCGAAAUCUUCUCUUUCUCUCUUUCCUUUUUUUCACUCUUCCCACAAAACCAGGUAUUAUUUAGGUCUUUGAAAAGCUGCAUAAACCAACUGUUCCUCCACAGAUUAGCCCUUUCAGAGCUCAGGUGCUGUGCCUCCUUGGGUUACACCGCCGCCUGUGACUUGUGGUCAGAUGUGGGUGGUGUCAUUCUGCCUUAUUCCUCCUUGUAGGAAAACAUUUGUAUGUUGGCUUCGUCAGGUCCUAUUUCCCUUGGGAAUGAUCCUGUAUGCACUUCUUCAUGCUCUUGGUGGGCAAUUGAGUCACUGGCCUUCAUGGAACCUCUGGACAUCUUGGAAAAGACCAGGAAGCCUUGCUUUCCCUCUGUGCCUUCACUCAGGCCAGACACGAUAAGAUUACAAGAUGGCUGUUUUACCUCAGUUUGGUUGGUGUCCUUUAUCUAAUAGAUCGAGCAUGGGUGCAGUUUCUGUAGAGUGUUGUCUCUACCUGGAUGACUAAAGAUUGUAAAGAGCCACUCACCCAGCCCAGAGUGACAGGACAUCAGGCCUCUGUACAUACAGUGCCUGGCUUCCCCAUCAGAUGCAGCUUUGACAUUUUCCUGGGGAGACUCCACUCCAAGGACUUUCAGGUAAGCUUUGCUAUUCAGCCUCUCCCCAUUCUUUGAUAAGCAUUUUGUACAUUCCAUUAUAACUAAAAAUACAUUUGUCUUCAUCUGGGCCUUUAGUCUGAAAAUACCACCCACUGUGGAAUUCACUUUUUAAUCCUCAUGU